CCUACGGGGGGCAGCAGUGAGGAAUAUUGGUCAAUGGGCGGAAGCCUGUACCAGCCAAGUAGCGUGCAGGAUGACGGCCCUACGGGUUGUAAACUGCUUUUAUACGGGAAUAACGCGCCUUACGUGUAGGGCUUUGCAUGUACCGUAUGAAUAAGGACCGGCUAAUUCCGUGCCAGCAGCCGCGGUAAUACGGAAGGUCCGGGCGUUAUCCGGAUUUAUUGGGUUUAAAGGGAGCGUAGGCCGCAUGUCAAGCGUGCUGUGAAAUGUCCGGGCUCAACCCGGGCCUUGCAGCGCGAACUGGCGUGCUUGAGUCCGCGGAAAGCAGGCGGAAUUCGUCGUGUAGCGGUGAAAUGCUUAGAUAUGACGAAGAACCCCGAUUGCGAAGGCAGCUUGCUGCAGCGGAACUGACGCUGAUGCUCGAAAGCGCGGGUAUCGAACAGGAUUAGAUACCCCUGUAGUC
RNAcentral lists this ribosomal RNA (460 nucleotides) under uncultured bacterium. Its description in RNAcentral is "partial 16S ribosomal RNA". It matches the Rfam family "Bacterial small subunit ribosomal RNA", at positions 338 to 795 of the family's 1533-position model. The record is from RNAcentral.